This 1212-nucleotide long non-coding RNA is filed under the name Gossypium barbadense (sea-island cotton). Its description in RNAcentral is "long non-coding RNA (GBAR_LNC016763)". Lineage: Eukaryota; Viridiplantae; Streptophyta; Magnoliopsida; Malvales; Malvaceae. The record is from RNAcentral.
CUGCCAUGGUUGUUUACUCUCAACUUGAAUGAACCUUAUCGAUUUGGAUUGGUGAUCCUCAGAAACCAAUAUUCCCAGAUUUUCAUCUUGAUUAGUACAUAGCUUGGUUUAUCAUCUAGAGACCAGGGAAGUUCACUUUUGUUUGAUUGUCAUCUCCUGCCAUGGUUGUUUACACUGAACUUGAAUAAACCUUAUCGAUUUUGAUAGGAGAUUGGUGAUCCUCGGAAACCGGUAUUCCCGGAUUUUUAUUGUGAUUCAGUAUAGCUUGGUUUGUCAUCUAGAGACUAGGGAAGUUCACUUUUGUUUGAUUGUCAUCUCCUGCCAUGUUUGUUUACUCUAAACUUGAAUGAACCUUUCAAUUUGGAUUGGAGAUCAGUGAUCCUCGGAAACAGAUAUUCCUGAUUUCUCAUCGUGAUUUAGUGUAGCUUCGUUUGGCAUCUAGAGACUAGGAAGUUCACUUUUGUUUGAUUGUCGUCUCCUGCCAUUGUUGUUUACUUGAACUUGAAUGAACCUUAUCAGUUUGGAUAGGAGAAUGGUGAUCUUCAGAUAUUCCUGGAUUUUCAUCGUGAUUUAGUAUAGUUUGGUUUGUCAUCUAGAGACUAGGGAAGUUACUUUUGUUUGAUUAUCAUCUCCUGCCAUGGUUUUAUACUCUCAACUUGAAUGAACCUUAUUGAUUUGGAUAGGAGAUUGGUGAUCCUCGGAAACUGAUAUUCCCGGAUUUUCAUCAUGAUUUAGUAUAGCUUGGUUUGUUAUCUAGAGACUAGGGAAGUUCACUUUUGUUUGAUUAUCAUCUCCUUCCAUGAUACCCUAUAUUUUCUUUGCUCUCAUUGAACAAACCGGUUUUUCCUUGUUUUAUCAUACAGGUUACAUCUAACAUUGGUCAUUACAGCAACUGUCUGUUGUUGGAUGAUGUAAGUUUAUGUUUAGUUUCAUAUAUGUAUGCACAAACACAUACAUAUGUUGUUGGAUGAUGUAAGUUUAUGUUUAGUUUCAUAUAUGUAUGCACAAACACAUACAUACUGUUUAUACAUAUAUAUAUACACACAAACACAUACAUACGUAUUAGAGGGCAUCUUUUGGCUAUGUUGUCAUUUCAACUUUUGUUGGAUGAAGAAUAUAAUGCCAGUGCCUUUUCUACGUAUUUCUGCUGUGAAAACUACUUUUUUGUCGUAGGAUAUAUCUGCAUUGCGGCAUAUUACUAAGUUUUGAUCC